GGGGUCAAUUUAUAUUGAAGAAUGAAAGUACCGGUAGUGGAGUAAUCAGAAGGAAUAGAGGGGAGAAAGAAGAGGAGGAGAACAGUAAAACAUCAGUGAAUGCAGCUGCCUCUGCUUCAGUUUACGCUAGUCUAGAGUCUCGGCCAGCAUCUGUCUAUGAGGUCUUGACCCCAGGAGCAUCAGCAGCAGCAGUAAACCGUGAAUCUGUCCAGAGGAAAGGAAAAAUGGAGAAUGCAACGCCACAAGGGGAAGUAAUAUUUGAAUGCGUCUAUGAGAAUUUCUGACCUAAUGGCAUCUGCACUGUGUUUGGGAAUCUAUAUGCCUCUAUUUUCCUGCCUUUGCAAUGUCUCUUGUUCUUUUACACAGACCUAAAAUCACGUCUGUAUUUUUACCCUGCAACUUC
Salmo salar (Atlantic salmon) is the source of this 403-nucleotide non-coding RNA. The record is from RefSeq and is a predicted model, not a curated record. NCBI's taxonomy places the organism in Eukaryota, Metazoa, Chordata, Actinopteri, Salmoniformes, Salmonidae.